ACAACAGUUGGAAACGACUGCUAAUACCGCAUAAGCCCACGGGUCGGCAUCGACCAGAGGGAAAAGGAGCAAUCCGCUUUGAGAUGGCCUCGCGUCCGAUUAGCUAGUUGGUGAGGUAACGGCCCACCAAGGCAACGAUCGGUAGCCGGACUGAGAGGUUGAACGGCCACAUUGGGACUGAGACACGGCCCAGACUCCUACGGGAGGCAGCAGUGGGGAAUAUUGCACAAUGGGGGAAACCCUGAUGCAGCGACGCCGCGUGGAGGAAGAAGGUCUUCGGAUUGUAAACUCCUGUUGUUGAGGAAGAUAAUGACGGUACUCAACAAGGAAGUGACGGCUAACUACGUGCCAGCAGCCGCGGUAAAACGUAGGUCACAAGCGUUGUCCGGAAUUACUGGGUGUAAAGGGAGCGCAGGCGGGAAGACAAGUUGGAAGUGAAAUCCAUGGGCUCAACCCAUGAACUGCUUUCAAAACUGUUUUUCUUGAGUAGUGCAGAGGUAGGCGGAAUUCCCGGUGUAGCGGUGGAAUGCGUAGAUAUCGGGAGGAACACCAGUGGCGAAGGCGGCCUACUGGGCACCAACUGACGCUGAGGCUCGAAAGUGUGGGUAGCAAACAGGAUUAGAUACCCUGGUAGUCCACACCGUAGACGAUGAUUACUAGGUGUUGGAGGAUUGACCCCUUCAGUGCCG
RNAcentral lists this ribosomal RNA (689 nucleotides) under uncultured bacterium. RNAcentral's name for it is "bacterial SSU rRNA". It matches the Rfam family "Bacterial small subunit ribosomal RNA", at positions 143 to 848 of the family's 1533-position model. The record is from RNAcentral.